UGGUUACUUAGAGGUGGUUUAUAGAUUUGUUUUGGUUUUUUAGGGUACCUUUUGCAUCAUGAUUUAUUGAUGGUGAUUUCUGUUUUGUAUUGUCUCGAAGAGUAUCGGUAACUACUUUUAUUGCUAGGUGCUUUAUGUUAAUACGGGGAGUAUAGCGGAAAUAUGAGUAGUGUUGUGAUAAAUAAUUCGGGAUACUUUAUAUCUUGUUGGGAUUAUUAUUUGUUGUUUGAUCUGGCUGGCUAGGAUGUUAGUUGGUGGUUUAUAGGCGGUAUUAGUCUUGAGGUUCUUAUGGGUUAAAAUUACCCCUAGGGGUUGUGUGUAUUAAUACUCUUGGUGAUUCGUUUUUGUGGCUUUAGUGGUUGAAUAAUCCCCCCUAUACUGGAUGUUGAGUAUGAUAGAAUAAGUAGGUUUUUAUUAGCUUCAGUUUUUCUCGAGGACUUCCGGUCUGUUUAUUAAAAACAUUUCUAUCUUUUUUUAUAGAUAGUAGUGCCUGCCCAAUGCUCAAGUGAAUGGCCGCAGUAUAUUGACUGUGCUAAGGUAGCAUAAUUAGUUGCCCCAUAAUUGGGGGAUUGUUUGAAAGGUUUGACUAGGGAGGUUACUUAAAUUGGGGUUGUUAUUGAAAUUGGUUUUCUGGUGCAGAUCCCAGGAUUAUGUUAUUAGACGGAAAGACCCCGAGAUCUUUACAUUGUGUUUGUUUACUUGGGGCAAGGCUAAAUAAUUUAUGUAGUUUUGGAUCCUAAGGGAUAGAAGGUUUGAGUUACCUCGGGGAUAACUAGGUAAAAAAUAAGGAGAGGCCAAAUCGAUUUAUUUAAUUGCCAUCUCGAUGUUGACUUGGGAAAUAUAAUAAGGUGCAGAAGUUUUAUUAUAAGGUCUGUUCGACCGAGAGUUCCCUCAUGAGUUGAGUUAAGACCGGCGUGAGCCAGGUCGGUUCUUAUCUAUACUUGAUGUGGAUUAGUACGAAAGGAUUGUCCAUAUUUUAUGUU
RNAcentral lists this ribosomal RNA (983 nucleotides) under Artyfechinostomum sufrartyfex. RNAcentral describes it as "large subunit ribosomal RNA". The stretch from base 629 to 983 matches the Rfam family "Bacterial large subunit ribosomal RNA", at positions 2048 to 2709 of the family's 2925-position model. Lineage: Eukaryota; Metazoa; Platyhelminthes; Trematoda; Plagiorchiida; Echinostomatidae. The record is from RNAcentral.